Molecule: RNA transcript, 2411 nt
Organism: Petromyzon marinus (sea lamprey)
Lineage: Eukaryota; Metazoa; Chordata; Hyperoartia; Petromyzontiformes; Petromyzontidae
Gene name: hippocalcin-like protein 1
Source: RefSeq, a predicted model, not a curated record
ACAAGGGGAGCGAGGCGUGGAGAGACCGAGUCGAGUGGAGAAGGGAGAGGCCGGGCAGGGUCGAUACACGUCCUGUAAGGUGGCAGCUCACUGCUUCAUGCAGCAGCAGGAAUACCAACAGGAGCGUGUUGCUGUCCACUACUCCGUUGUUAAUUUACAAUGAUGAAGUGCCCCAUAGACUCCGAGUUAAAGGGUGGUGCAGUGUUUAGCGCAUGCUGCUGUGAGCCCAGGUACCGAAGUUGGAUCAUUGGCAUUGUGGUGAAGUAUGGCCAACCAACGCACGUGACCAACACGGCGUGGGGGAGGCCCUCUAUGUAAUUGAGGGCCUGUGUGUUGCCUUGGUGUGGUCACAGACUGUUUUAGCUCACCGGAUUCAUCAUCCAGGAUCAAUACAGAUUAUGACUCGGUGGGGUGACACAACGGCUCGAGUACAACGGCGUUACGCACUUCGGCGUUUGUCGUACGAGCGAACGUCUUGAUGAGUUUUGCCAUUGACGUGAGCGCUGUGUUUGGAUGCGGGGAGGCUUGGGGCGUGUGGGCUGCAGCAGCAGUGGCAGCAGCAGCGGGCGAUGGGCAAGCAGAACAGCAAGCUGCGGCCGGAGGUGCUGCAGGACCUGCGUGAGAACACCGAGUUCUCGGAGCAGGAGCUGCAGGAGUGGUACAAGGGCUUCCUCAAGGACUGCCCCAGCGGGCACCUCACGGUGGACGAGUUCAAGAAGAUCUACUCCAACUUCUUCCCGUACGGCGACGCCUCCAAGUUCGCCGAGCACGUGUUCCGCACCUUCGACGCCAACGGCGACGGCACCAUCGACUUCCGCGAGUUCAUCAUCGCGCUGAGCGUCACGUCCCGGGGCAAGCUCGAGCAGAAGCUCAAGUGGGCCUUCAGCAUGUACGACCUGGACGGCAACGGCUACAUCAGCCGGGCCGAGAUGCUGGAAAUCGUGCGGGCCAUCUAUAAGAUGGUGGCUUCCGUGAUGAAACUUCCCGAAGAUGAGUCCACGCCAGAGAAGCGAACGGAGAAGAUUUUCCAGCAGAUGGACACAAACAAGGAUGGGAAGCUGUCGGUAGAGGAGUUCAUACGCGGGGCCAAGAGUGACCCUUCCAUUGUCCGGCUCCUGCAGUGCGACCCUUCCAGUGCCACGCAGUUCUGAGGGCUGUGCUGCCUGUCCCACGUCCGUGCUCACGACUCCACGUCCGUCAACAUAAACAAGCAGGCCGGACGCCUCUCGCACACAAACAUUUAUAUUUUUUACACAUAUCCCAUCAGUCUUUUGGGGGUGCAUCAUUUCAUCAGCAUCGGCUCAACACGCGCAACACCUCUGGACCGGUUUUAACAUUCAGUGUCUCAUCAGCGCUUCAAACGAUUUUGGCGAAUUGCCAGAUGUUUGUAGCCAAGGGCCCUGUCUGUCCGACAUGGGUCCCAGUUAUUUCGUGCGAAUGUCUGCUCCCAUUAUCCCCACGCCACCAAGCCCACUCACAACAGCCAUCCACCACGCAUCACACAGGUAUCACAGCGCGUCCCACUGUGCCAUCCGUCCCAAAGAGGUAUGCUGCCUGUGUAUCUGCUGCCUUUUGUUGUUGCACGGCUGUAAUGCCUAUUUAAGUUGUUUUAAGCAGACUGCUUCGUGUGAUAUGCAUAGUAUUGAACCUUCGAUAUUGUUUACGAUGCAGUUGUUGCCGGUGUGUUUAACUUCUUUCAGGGGUAAGAAAAAACACGUGCUUAUAUUGUGCCUGCGACCGCACGCUCUGCGUGUGAGACUUGGGAGUUGGCAUGCGACGGCGUUUCUACGCGUUUCACCCUCCUGACACAUUCGGCUGGACGGCAUUGGUGGUGGUGGUGGUUACACUGCACGUGGUUGCCUGUAAUCCAGCACUGUGGAGACGGCAGCGAGGGUUGGUGGAUCACCGCACAGAUGUUGCGAGACUCCCUUACCCGUGGGCUUCAAGGAGGAGCCGUACCUCUGGCUCGCCAUGAUUAGGCGCUGCAGCAAAACAUUUACCUCGCCUAUGAACAUUUUUUUAUCCUUUCUGGCAAUAAAACAAGUGAUGUUGAGAUGAUUUAUUUUUAUUUUCCUCACCUGCAGUGGUGUAGAGUGUUACUCCCCAUCGCACACGUGGAUUUUCUCCGGUUGCACCGGUUUCUUCCCCGAGUGUAAACACUCAUUAUUUGAUCGAGAACACCGUGAUAUAUAGAGGACCGCAGAGCUUGGGGGGUGAGGGAUUUGGCGUCGGCUCCUCGCCGCGUGGCUGCUGCUUCCUUGCUGCCCAGCUGUGGUCCCCCCUCCUGGCCCCUCUGAGUCGCCCCUCUGACUGAGCGCUACAAGUUGGCAUUGAAGAGAUAAGAGCCUGCACUUGACACUACGGGGCCUGCUGAUUAGGACAUUAAAAAACUAAACAUUUAAUGAUGAACA